AUUGAACGCUGGCUGCAGGCUUAACACAUGCAAGUCGAACGAGUGGCGGACGGGUUAGUAAUGUCUGGGAAACUGCCUGGUGGAGGGGGAUAACUACGGGGAACGGUAGCUAAUACCGCAUACCAUCAGAUCUGCCCAGAUUGGAUUAGCUAGUAGGGGGGGUAACGUCUCACCUAGGGGACGAUCCCUAGCUGGUCUGAGAGGAUGACCAGCCACACUGUGACUGAGACACGGCCCAGACUCCUACGGGAGGCAGCAGUGGGGAAUAUUGCACAAUGGGCGAAAGCCUGAUGUAGCCAUGCCGCGUGGGUGAAGAAGGUUUUCGGGUUGUAAAGCACUUUUGGUGGGGAGGCGUUAUCUGAAGAAGAAGCACCGGCUAACUCCGUGCCAGCAGCCGCGGUAAUUC
Molecule: ribosomal RNA, 406 nt
Filed under: uncultured bacterium
Lineage: Bacteria
Description: partial 16S ribosomal RNA
Rfam family: Bacterial small subunit ribosomal RNA
Source: RNAcentral